GACGAACGCUGGCGGUGUGCUUAACACAUGCAAGUCGAACGGAAAGGCCCUGCUUUUGUGGGGUGCUCGAGUGGCGAACGGGUGAGUAACACGUGAGUAACCUGCCCUUGACUUUGGGAUAACUUCAGGAAACUGGGGCUAAUACCGGAUAGGAGCUCCUGCUGCAUGGUGGGGGUUGGAAAGUUUCGGCGGUUGGGGAUGGACUCGCGGCUUAUCAGCUUGUUGGUGGGGUAGUGGCUUACCAAGGCUUUGACGGGUAGCCGGCCUGAGAGGGUGACCGGCCACAUUGGGACUGAGAUACGGCCCAGAAUCCUACGGGAGGCAGCAGUGGGGAAUAUUGCACAAUGGGCGGAAGCCUGAUGCAGCAACGCCGCGUGCGGGAUGACGGCCUUCGGGUUGUAAACCGCUUUCGCCUGUGACGAAGCGUGAGUGACGGUAAUGGGUAAAGAAGCACCGGCUAACUACGUG
Molecule: ribosomal RNA, 468 nt
Filed under: uncultured bacterium
Lineage: Bacteria
Description: partial 16S ribosomal RNA
Rfam family: Bacterial small subunit ribosomal RNA
Source: RNAcentral